GAUGAACGCUAGCGGGAGGCCUAACACAUGCGAGCCGAGCGGUAUUUGUUCUUCGGAACAGAGAGAGCGGCGCACGGGUGCGGAACACGUGUGCAACCUGCCUUUAUCUGGGGGAUAGCCUUUCGAAAGGAAGAUUAAUACCCCAUACUAUAUUGAGUGGCAUCCUUUGAUAUUGAAAACUCCGGUGGAUAGAGAUGGGCACGCGCAAGAUUAGAUAGUUGGUGAGGUAACGGCUCACCAAGUCAAUGAUCUUUAGGGGGCCUGAGAGGGUGAUCCCCCACACUGGUACUGAGACACGGACCAGACUCCUACGGGAGGCAGCAGUGAGGAAUAUUGGACAAGGGGUUAGCGCCGGAUCCAGCCAUCCCGCGUGAAGGACGUCGGCCCUAUGGGUUGUAAACUUCUUGUGUAUAGGGAGAAACCUACUCUCGUGAGAGUAGCUGAAGGUACUAUACGAAUAAGCACCGGCUAACUCCGUG
Molecule: ribosomal RNA, 479 nt
Filed under: uncultured bacterium
Lineage: Bacteria
Description: partial 16S ribosomal RNA
Rfam family: Bacterial small subunit ribosomal RNA
Source: RNAcentral